RNAcentral lists this ribosomal RNA (468 nucleotides) under uncultured bacterium. Its description in RNAcentral is "partial 16S ribosomal RNA". It matches the Rfam family "Bacterial small subunit ribosomal RNA", at positions 28 to 507 of the family's 1533-position model. The record is from RNAcentral.
GACGAACGCUGGCGGCGUGCUUAACACAUGCAAGUCGAACGGAAAGGCCCUGCUUUUGUGGGGUGCUCGAGUGGCGAACGGGUGAGUAACACGUGAGUAACCUGCCCUUGACUUUGGGAUAACUUCAGGAAACUGGGGCUAAUACCGGAUAGGAGCUCCUGCUGCAUGGUGGGGGUUGGAAAGUUUCGGCGGUUGGGGAUGGACUCGCGGCUUAUCAGCUUGUUGGUGGGGUAGUGGCUUACCAAGGCUUUGACGGGUAGCCGGCCUGAGAGGGUGACCGGCCACAUUGGGACUGAGAUACGGCCCAGACUCCUACGGGAGGCAGCAGUGGGGAAUAUUGCACAAUGGGCGGAAGCCUGAUGCAGCAACGCCGCGUGCGGGAUGACGGCCUUCGGGUUGUAAACCGCUUUCGCAUGUGACGAAGCGUGCGUGACGGUAAUGGGUAAAGAAGCACCGGCUAACUACGUG